GCGUGGGGAGCGAACAGGAUUAGAUACCCUGGUAGUCCACGCCGUAAACGAUGAGUGCUAAGUGUUAGGGGGUUUCCGCCCCUUAGUGCUGCAGCUAACGCAUUAAGCACUCCGCCUGGGGAGUACGGUCGCAAGACUGAAACUCAAAGGAAUUGACGGGGGCCCGCACAAGCGGUGGAGCAUGUGGUUUAAUUCGAAGCAACGCGAAGAACCUUACCAGGUCUUGACAUCCUCUGACAAUCCUAGAGAUAGGACGUCCCCUUCGGGGGCAGAGUGACAGGUGGUGCAUGGUUGUCGUCAGCUCGUGUCGUGAGAUGUUGGGUUAAGUCCCGCAACGAGCGCAACCCUUGAUCUUAGUUGCCAGCAUUCAGUUGGGCACUCUAAGGUGACUGCCGGUGACAAACCGGAGGAAGGUGGGGAUGACGUCAAAUCAUCAUGCCCCUUAUGACCUGGGCUACACACGUGCUACAAUGGACAGAACAAAGGGCAGCGAAACCGCGAGGUUAAGCCAAUCCCACAAAUCUGUUCUCAGUUCGGAUCGCAGUCUG
Molecule: ribosomal RNA, 548 nt
Filed under: Bacillus amyloliquefaciens
Lineage: Bacteria; Bacillati; Bacillota; Bacilli; Caryophanales; Bacillaceae
Description: bacterial SSU rRNA
Rfam family: Bacterial small subunit ribosomal RNA
Source: RNAcentral